GGAGCCUCUGGCAGCAAGGGGGCCGGCUCUCUCUCCAGCAGCAGUUCAGCCACCCGCUGUGGGAAGUCGAGGGUCAGAAGCCAGAGGGCCUCUGCAAGGACGCUGGGCCUCCUGUGGUGAGUCGGGGCGUUCACACCUGCCUCUUCUGACAUGGCCGGCUUCGCUUUCCCGUCGGUGUUUCUCAAGCUCACCCUAGCUCCGCUCCCAACCCAGAAGCCUGGGGAGGUCGGAUGCUGCCACCCCGACAAACCUCCUCUGAACCCCAGCCAGGAGUGAGUCCCCCUCCUCCGCCCUACCCUCCCCCAUCCUCUCUGCACACCAGAUUGAGACAGGACAUCUGACCUCACAGGCCUCCAUUUCCCCUUCUGAACAAGAAGUGGCCUGGACUCUGGCCUCUGAAGGAAGGGGUAUAGUGCAGAAGCCUUCAACAUGUCUCCUCGUCACCCUCCCUACCCCACCCCUGCACUGCUGAGACUCCCAGCAUGUCUUGUAGACAAACAGGCCAGGAGGACCUCCCAGUUCCCCGAGGGCGCCUCCAUUCAUUCUUUCAUCUGCCGGCGCCUUGCCAGACACCGCUAGAUACUGGGGUGUAAUGAAAGCCCCCAAGUCCCUGCACCCACAAGGCUCAGUUCACUGGGGAGAUGACCCCCCAAAAUCACACCUGCGCUCAAAUGUAAUAUUGCAGCUAUACCAUGUGCAUGGACAGUGAAGGGACUGACUCCUGGGAUGGUCGGGGAAGGCAGCCUGCAGGGGGCCACAUGAGGAAGCUGAGACCGGGGAUGAUAGGGUGAAGCAGGCAAAGAGGGGAGGAAGAGAGAGAGCAGGAACAGCAUAUGCAAGGGCUCCUUCCGGAGGGAUGGAAGCCCCCCACCCCCAGCACGAAGGUCAGAGAUUAUUCCUGUGUCAUCAAUUCCAAGACACUUCCUUGCUCCCACUGAAAUCUCCCAAGUCAGGUUACACGGUAGAGUUGUCUCCCGGCUGGCCACAGUCCUAACAGAGUUGUCAUUGCCUGCACACGCCCAUGCGCUUCGAAGCAGCAAACCCUGCAGAAAGGGCAUCAGCAGCUCCGAAGGAAGCCCUGGAGGCAAGAACCGAGCCGGCACUCCCUUAACCCCUAACCCCGGGACUCAAAGGGUGUGAGGCCCCAGGGAAGAGAACCAGACUUAUCGGUACAGUUCCCCAAGCGGAAGUCCAGAGCGAAGCUGGCUUGCGACAGCUCUGGGGCUGCGGGCUUCAGAGUUGUCUGAUGGAUCGUUGGGGUGGGCUGCGCUGCAGGACUCACCAGGGCUCACAGGGGAGGUGGCGGCGAAACACAGAAACAUCGCGCCUCCGUCUCUGUCGGAGUCUAAAUGGGAAGGAGUUUUCCGAAUACCGUAAACCAAUUUAUUUUGCUUCUAUUUUCCCUUUUAUGUAUGCCUCUGAAUUACAUAUGAGAAUUUCUGUCUAAGUCAUAAACAGCUCCUUCGGGAAGUAUAAAAUAAAAGUUCUAGUGAUGAAAGAGACUUGAGACAUAGUCAACCGGCAGCAUUCUUUUUUUCCCUGAGUGGCAUCUAUUAUUUUUCAAUGGGUGACAUCUUACAUUUGAUGAAAUAUGGGGUAACAACAACCGUGGCACACAGGCUUACUGGCAGCCAGUCAUGGUUACAAGAACUUCACGCUGGGAACAUCUGAGUGGCUCAGUCGAUUAAACAUCAGACUCUUGCUUUUGGCUCAAGUCAUGAUCUCAGGGUAGCGAGAUCAAGCCUGGUGUCAGGCUCCGCUCUCAGCACAAAGUCUGCUUGAGAUUCUCUCUCCCUCUCUUUCUAAAAUAAAUAAAUAAAGGGGCAUCUGGGUGGCUCAGUGGGUUAAGCAUCUGCCUUCGGCUCGGGUCCUGAUCCCAGAGUCCCGGGAUCCAGCCCCACAUCGAGCUCCCUGCUCUGCCGGGAGUCUGCUACUCCUUCUCCCAUGCCUACUGCCCCCCUCCCUGCUUGUGCACCUUCUCUCUCUGCCCCUCUGUCAAAUGAAUAAAGUCUUUUUUUUAAAGAUUUUAUUUAUUUAUUCGACAGAAAGAGAGAUCACAAGUAGGCAGAGAGGCAGGCAGAGAGACAGGGGGGAAGCAGGCUCCCUGCUGAGCAGAGAGCCCGAUGUGGGGCUCGAUCCCAGGACCCCGAGAUCAUGACCUGAGCCGAAGGCAGUGGCUUAACCCACUAAGCCACCCAGGUGCCCCUGAAUAAAGUCUUUUUUAAAAA
Molecule: long non-coding RNA, 2228 nt
Organism: Mustela lutreola (European mink)
Lineage: Eukaryota; Metazoa; Chordata; Mammalia; Carnivora; Mustelidae
Exons: 2
Source: RefSeq, a predicted model, not a curated record